Saccostrea cuccullata (small rock oyster) is the source of this 300-nucleotide long non-coding RNA. RefSeq lists it as uncharacterized. The transcript has 3 exons. The record is from RefSeq and is a predicted model, not a curated record. NCBI's taxonomy places the organism in Eukaryota, Metazoa, Mollusca, Bivalvia, Ostreida, Ostreidae.
UUAUCUUUCUGCUUGGUUUUUAUUGGAUAAACCAUUGUCAUGAAAAUAGCGUUUCUUCUGAGUAUUAUAAUAGGUCACGUGACCACAGAGAAUUGUCGAGUUGACACGGACUGCAUCCAUACAGUAUGUGACUCAGCUACUGAUCUUCACUGCAUUGAUGGAAUCUGCUCAUGCACAGAAUUGUCGGAAUUUGCAUGCACCACUCUGAAUGAUUGUCUAAAUAUAGGAAACUGGUACUGCCCUCCAAACAGACGUCAUUGUAUUGAUAAUCUAUGUAAAUGUAUAAGACUGUAACAAAAU